Molecule: ribosomal RNA, 301 nt
Filed under: uncultured bacterium
Lineage: Bacteria
Description: partial 16S ribosomal RNA
Rfam family: Bacterial small subunit ribosomal RNA
Source: RNAcentral
CAGUCGCCGCGGGAAUACGUAGGGUGCAAGCGUUAAUCGGAAUUACUGGGCGUAAAGCGUGCGCAGGCGGUUAUAUAAGUCAGAUGUGAAAUCCCCGGGCUCAACCUGGGAACUGCAUUUGAGACUGUAUGGCUAGAGUGUGUCAGAGGGGGGUAGAAUUCCACGUGUAGCAGUGAAAUGCGUAGAUAUGUGGAGGAAUACCGAUGGCGAAGGCAGCCCCCUGGGGUAACACUGACGCUCAUGCACGAAAGCGUGGGGAGCAAACAGGAUUAGAUACCCCCGUAGUCCCUGUCUCUUAUAC